This 485-nucleotide ribosomal RNA is filed under the name uncultured bacterium. RNAcentral describes it as "partial 16S ribosomal RNA". It matches the Rfam family "Bacterial small subunit ribosomal RNA", at positions 29 to 507 of the family's 1533-position model. The record is from RNAcentral.
AUGCACGCUGGCGGCGUGCCUCAUCCCUGCCAGUCGCACGCUGGAGAUCUAGCUUGCUAGCUCGAAGGAGUGGCGAACGGGUGAGUAAUACAUAAGCAACCUACCCACGAAGACUGGGAUAAUCUCUGGAAACGGGGACUAAUACCGGAUAGGUAAUCGGAAGGCAUCUUCUGGUUAUUAAAGGUUAAAAACACUGGUGGAUGGGCUUAUGGCGCAUUAGUUAGUUGGUGAGGUAACGGCCCACCAAGACGAUGAUGCGUAGCCGGCCUGAGAGGGUGAACGGCCACAUUGGGACUGAGACACGGCCCAGACUCCUACGGGAGGCAGCAGUAGGGAAUUUUCGGCAAUGGGGGCAACCCUGACCGAGCAACGCCGCGUGAGUGAAGACGGCCUUCGGGUUGUAAAGCUCUGUUGUAAGGGAAGAACGGUAGAUAGAGAAUAUCUAAGUGACGGUACCUUACCAGAAAGCCACGGCUAACUACGUG